RNAcentral lists this ribosomal RNA (301 nucleotides) under uncultured bacterium. Its description in RNAcentral is "partial 16S ribosomal RNA". It matches the Rfam family "Bacterial small subunit ribosomal RNA", at positions 509 to 807 of the family's 1533-position model. The record is from RNAcentral.
CAGUCGCCACGGUAAUACAGAGGGUGCGAGCGUUAAUCGGAUUUACUGGGCGUAAAGCGUGCGUAGGCGGCUUCUUAAGUCGGAUGUGAAAUCCCUGAGCUUAACUUAGGAAUUGCAUUCGAUACUGGGAAGCUAGAGUAUGGGAGAGGAUGGUAGAAUUCCAGGUGUAGCGGUGAAAUGCGUAGAGAUCUGGAGGAAUACCGAUGGCGAAGGCAGCCAUCUGGCCUAAUACUGACGCUGAGGUACGAAAGCAUGGGGAUCAAACAGGAUUAGAUACCCGUGUAGUCCCUGUCUCUUAUAC